AGCAGCCGCGGUAAUUCCAGCUCCAAUAGCGUAUAUUAGAGUUGUUGCAGUUAAAAAGCUCGUAGUUGAAUUUCGGGAUUGACACAUCGGUCGUGCCUUAAGGGGUAUGAACUGGUGUAGUCAGUUUCUCACCUUCUGGAGAACCGCGAUGUCCUUAAUUGGGUGCCGCGAGGAACCAGGACCUUUACUUUGAAAAAAUUAGAGUGUUUAAAGCAGGCAUUUUGCUUGAAUACAUUAGCAUGGAAUAAUAAAAUAGGACGGAUGGUUCUAUUUUGUUGGUUUCUAGGAUCACCGUAAUGAUUAAUAGGGAUAGUUGGGGGCAUUAGUAUUCAAUUGUCAGAGGUGAAAUUCUUGGAUUUAUUGAAGACUAACUACUGCGAAAGCAUUUGCCAAGGAUGUUUUCAUUAAUCAAGAACGAAAGUUAGGGGAUCGAAGACGAUCAGAUACCGU
RNAcentral lists this ribosomal RNA (450 nucleotides) under uncultured Entrophospora. Its description in RNAcentral is "SSU rRNA". It matches the Rfam family "Eukaryotic small subunit ribosomal RNA", at positions 569 to 1018 of the family's 1831-position model. Lineage: Eukaryota; Fungi; Glomeromycota; Glomeromycetes; Entrophosporales; Entrophosporaceae. The record is from RNAcentral.